This 681-nucleotide ribosomal RNA is filed under the name Streptomyces sp. 11720. Its description in RNAcentral is "bacterial SSU rRNA". It matches the Rfam family "Bacterial small subunit ribosomal RNA", at positions 56 to 755 of the family's 1533-position model. Lineage: Bacteria; Bacillati; Actinomycetota; Actinomycetes; Kitasatosporales; Streptomycetaceae. The record is from RNAcentral.
UGCAGUCGAACGAUGAAGCCCUUCGGGGUGGAUUAGUGGCGAACGGGUGAGUAACACGUGGGCAAUCUGCCCUGCACUCUGGGACAAGCCCUGGAAACGGGGUCUAAUACCGGAUAUGACCGUCCAUCGCAUGGUGGAUGGUGUAAAGCUCCGGCGGUGCAGGAUGAGCCCGCGGCCUAUCAGCUAGUUGGUGAGGUAGUGGCUCACCAAGGCGACGACGGGUAGCCGGCCUGAGAGGGCGACCGGCCACACUGGGACUGAGACACGGCCCAGACUCCUACGGGAGGCAGCAGUGGGGAAUAUUGCACAAUGGGCGAAAGCCUGAUGCAGCGACGCCGCGUGAGGGAUGACGGCCUUCGGGUUGUAAACCUCUUUCAGCAGGGAAGAAGCGAAAGUGACGGUACCUGCAGAAGAAGCGCCGGCUAACUACGUGCCAGCAGCCGCGGUAAUACGUAGGGCGCAAGCGUUGUCCGGAAUUAUUGGGCGUAAAGAGCUCGUAGGCGGCUUGUCACGUCGGUUGUGAAAGCCCGGGGCUUAACCCCGGGUCUGCAGUCGAUACGGGCAGGCUAGAGUUCGGUAGGGGAGAUCGGAAUUCCUGGUGUAGCGGUGAAAUGCGCAGAUAUCAGGAGGAACACCGGUGGCGAAGGCGGAUCUCUGGGCCGAUACUGACGCUGAGGAGCG